GAUGAACGCUGGCGGCGUGCCUAAUACAUGCAAGUCGAGCGAACAGACGAGGAGUUUGCUCCUCUGACGUUAGCGGCGGACGGGUGAGUAACACGUGGAUAACCUACCUAUAAGACUGGGAUAACUUCGGGAAACCGGAGCUAAUACCGGAUAAUAUAUUGAACCGCAUGGUUCAAUAGUGAAAGACGGUUUUGCUGUCACUUAUAGAUGGAUCCGCGCCGCAUUAGCUAGUUGGUAAGGUAACGGCCUACCAAGGCAACGAUGCGUAGCCGACCUGAGAGGGUGAUCGGCCACACUGGAACUGAGACACGGUCCAGACUCCUACGGGAGGCAGCAGUAGGGAAUCUUCCGCAAUGGGCGAAAGCCUGACGGAGCAACGCCGCGUGAGUGAUGAAGGUCUUCGGAUCGUAAAACUCUGUUAUUAGGGAAGAACAAAUGUGUAAGUAACUAUGCACGUCUUGACGGUACCUAAUCAGAAGGCCACGGCUAACUACGUG
RNAcentral lists this ribosomal RNA (497 nucleotides) under uncultured bacterium. Its description in RNAcentral is "partial 16S ribosomal RNA". It matches the Rfam family "Bacterial small subunit ribosomal RNA", at positions 28 to 507 of the family's 1533-position model. The record is from RNAcentral.